AGGCAAAGGGCUGGGGGUUGAGGGCAACAAGAACUGGAGCUGGUGGGAGAGAGGGGUUCUGCAGAGGCGGGGAGGGGUGAGAACCACACCCACACCGGGCACACAGGACUUCUGCAUAUUUGUGCCCGGCUCGGCUGACCACUAGAGGCAGCCUGGCUGGGCAGCGUCCAUCCGGAGUCAGAGGUCUGGGCUGCGAUCCACAGCCACCAUGUGUGCCGGCCUUGGGCGUGCAGCAGGCUCCACCCAGCCUGUUUCUUCGCACACGCAGUAGAGAAACUGUGCGGACUCCCACCCAGGAGUUGAUUCAACAACAGACCAGGAUCAGAGGCUGCAGGUACCAAAACCAAGGAGCGCUUUCCUUUGGGGUUGUGAUGUAAUGGAUUUCUUGCUCCUGGUCCCAGUCACAAAGCCUCGAAAAGCCGCGCCUGAGAUCACGAACCCUGGCCCUUUUUUUUGCCAGCAGGAGCGGGAAUUGGCUGCAGCUCCCCUCCGAAGCUCCUUGCCUACACACCUGGCCACCUGCUCAGGGGCCCCAUCCCAGCAGCUGCACACACUCAUGCCUCUGUGUCCUUCAAACCCUCCCUUCUCUCACCGUCUCUCUUCGUCCAAACCUGCCUGGAUCCAGGGCCGCCUGUGUAAAUGUUGCACUGUCCCCCAGAGGUGCCAGGCAAGAUGGCCCUUUCUUUACAAGCACUUUCCCCCUAAACCAACUAGUUCCUAUCAAGUUGGCGCUCUAAUUUGUGGAUGAAUUAAGCAGGCAGGUGAAUGCACAAUGGAUCAGAAGCUGAAGUGCUCUGGGCUGGGAGAUGGGUGCAGAGGCUUGCUGUGUUAAUAGCCAGUAACAGCCAAGCACCUACUGUGUGCCUGUACCUCACAGCUCCUGGGGACACGAGGCCACCAGGAACCCCAACACGGAGAUCCACUGGGCUGCCAAGGGAGCCUGAUGACCCCGUACAGCCAUCAAGGAAGGAGUCACCAGGCAAAGGGCCAGGCAGGGUGGGGUCAGGUGGGGGUCUUCUAGGCAAAAGAGUGGAGCUUACUUGGCACCGAGUAAGUCCUUUGUAGCACAUGCCACUUGUCUUACCGUUACACUUUGGUAUUUAACUCCCCCUAGACUAAACUCCAGGACAGGGCGAGGACCAGAUGGUGCCUUCUGGGCUGAGCAUGACAGUUCUGGCAGCAGCCUAACUCAUUAAACAUUAACCAGUGGAAUAUUCAGGAACCUGCAGGUGGCUCAGACUGGCCCCAGGUAGAGAGUGUAAGGAGGAAGCUGCAGUGGAGCGCUGGGAAGAGCCAGGCUUUCUCCAUCUGGCACUGGGGAAUAUGGGGGGGGGGGGUGCGGUCCUUAAACAGGAAAGACACAGGUAGUCAGUCAUGGUUUAGAAUAUUCCUCAUACUCUGGGGUCCGCAGCAGGGGCUGCACCAGGCAGGCAGCGAGAAACAGGGCCGCAGUUACCCAGGCGAGGAGGCUUGAGUCUAGAGGCAGUGGAGUGGUGCGCUCUGAGAAGGCAUUUGGGAACCCCAGGUGUGUGCCACCGAGGCAGAGCAGGCUUCUGGGCUGCAGGCUUCCAGGCUGCGGGCUCCAGAUGGGAAGAAGACGCCCAGUUAACCCACCCCACAAGGGCACAGGGUGGUCCUGGGAGGCGUGUGCCAGCCCAUCACUGGUACUAGCACAUUCAGAGUUUAACCCUUCUGCCCUCACACUUGUAUUUUCUUUGCCUUUUUAAUCAACUCAUGUGUUAACACAUUUAUAUACUUUAAAAGUGAACAUUAGAUAGAGCACAGGGGUAGAGUGCUUGCAAAGCAUCACGAGAGGCCCUGGGCUCAAUCCCCAGUGCUAUAGAUAAAUAAAGUGAUUAUUAGGG
Molecule: long non-coding RNA, 1865 nt
Filed under: Heterocephalus glaber (naked mole-rat)
Lineage: Eukaryota; Metazoa; Chordata; Mammalia; Rodentia; Bathyergidae
Description: lncRNA (ENSHGLG00000048966.1)
Source: RNAcentral